Molecule: ribosomal RNA, 429 nt
Filed under: uncultured Phycisphaeraceae bacterium
Lineage: Bacteria; Pseudomonadati; Planctomycetota; Phycisphaerae; Phycisphaerales; Phycisphaeraceae
Description: bacterial SSU rRNA
Rfam family: Bacterial small subunit ribosomal RNA
Source: RNAcentral
UGCAACGCGAAGAACCUUACCAGGCCUUGACAUCCUGCGAACUUUCUAGAGAUAGAUUGGUGCCUUCGGGAGCGCAGUGACAGGUGCUGCAUGGCUGUCGUCAGCUCGUGCUGUGAAGUGUCGGGUUAAGUCCCUUAACGAGCGCAACCCCUAUCGUUAGUUGCCAGCGCGUCAUGGCGGGGACUCUAGCGAGACUGCCGGUGUCAAACCGGAGGAAGGUGGGGAUGACGUCAAGUCCUCAUGGCCCUUAUGUCCAGGGAUGCAAACGUGCUACAAUGGCGUGUACAGAGCGAUGCGAGGCCGCAAGGCGGAGCAAAUCGCAAAAAGCACGCCCCAGUUCGGAUUGCAGGCUGCAACUCGCCUGCAUGAAGCCGGAAUCGCUAGUAAUCGGAGAUCAGCUACGCUCCGGUGAAUACGUUCCUGAGCCUU